Molecule: ribosomal RNA, 459 nt
Filed under: uncultured bacterium
Lineage: Bacteria
Description: partial 16S ribosomal RNA
Rfam family: Bacterial small subunit ribosomal RNA
Source: RNAcentral
CCUACGGGGGGCAGCAGUGAGGAAUAUUGGUCAAUGGGCGCGAGCCUGAACCAGCCAAGUCGCGUGCGGGAAGACGGUCCUAUGGAUUGUAAACCUCUUUUGUCGGGGAGCAAAAGACGCCACGCGUGGCGUUCCGAGAGUACCCGAAGAAAAAGCAUCGGCUAACUCCGUGCCAGCAGCCGCGGUAAUACGGAGGAUGCGAGCGUUAUCCGGAUUUAUUGGGUUUAAAGGGUGCGCAGGCGGAAGAGCAAGUCAGCGGUAAAAUUGAGAGGCUCAACCUCUUCGAGCCGUUGAAACUGGUUGUCUUGAGUGAGUGAGAAGUAUGCAGAAUGCGUGGUGUAGCGGUGAAAUGCAUAGAUAUCACGCAGAACUCCGAUUGCGAAGGCAGCAUACCGGCGCUCAACUGACGCUGAUGCACGAAAGUGUGGGUAUCGAACAGGAUUAGAUACCCCUGUAGUC